Molecule: unclassified non-coding RNA, 591 nt
Filed under: Hevea brasiliensis (rubber tree)
Lineage: Eukaryota; Viridiplantae; Streptophyta; Magnoliopsida; Malpighiales; Euphorbiaceae
Source: RNAcentral
GCAAUUAAAAGUUUCCAUUACUCAUUAAUAUCUCAUAAUACAUAUAGUCCAUUAUUAAAAGAUUAAUACUACAUCUUAUAUUAAAUUAAUUAAAACAACCUUUGUUGGUAUAAAAUAUCAUAUUUAAACUUCUUUCAUAUGUAGAUAGAUAUUUAAUCACUCUUUAGGGCUUAGGUUUGUUUUGAGUAUAUAUAUAAUCCAAGUGAGCCUCAGCUACCAUCCUUCUAUUUAAACAAACUUCAUCUCUGUCUUCACAUUUCUCCAUCCCCAUCAGCUGUUCAAGAACCAUAAAGGACAAUAUAUUAAAAAUAAGAGAAAAUGCACAAGUACCCCUCAAUCUAUGUCUGAAAUCUUAGAGACACAUUUAUACUGUAUUAAGGUCUUAUUAUCCUCCUAAACUUAUUUUAUAAGUAAUUUUUUACCUCUCUUCGGCCUACGUGUUACUAUCUUGAAAAAAAGUCAACCAGCGUUGGGCCCACAAGAUAGUGUCACGUAGGCUGGAAAGGGUGUAAAAUUAUUUAUAAAAUAAGUUCAGGGGUAAUAGGAUCUUCGUAUAGUAUAAGUGUGCUCUGAGAUUUCGGGCAUAGGUUG